UACGUAGGGUGCAAGCGUUGUCCGGAAUUAUUGGGCGUAAAGAGCUCGUAGGCGGUCUGUCGCGUCUGCUGUGAAAACUCAGGGCUUAACCCUGAGCUUGCAGUGGGUACGGGCAGGCUAGAGUGCGGUAGGGGAGACUGGAAUUCCUGGUGUAGCGGUGAAAUGCGCAGAUAUCAGGAGGAACACCGAUGGCGAAGGCAGGUCUCUGGGCAUUAACUGACGCUGAGGAGCGAAAGCAUGGGGAGCGAACAGG
This 253-nucleotide ribosomal RNA is filed under the name uncultured bacterium. RNAcentral describes it as "partial 16S ribosomal RNA". It matches the Rfam family "Bacterial small subunit ribosomal RNA", at positions 524 to 776 of the family's 1533-position model. The record is from RNAcentral.